This 798-nucleotide ribosomal RNA is filed under the name uncultured bacterium. RNAcentral describes it as "bacterial SSU rRNA". It matches the Rfam family "Bacterial small subunit ribosomal RNA", at positions 60 to 849 of the family's 1533-position model. The record is from RNAcentral.
AGUCGCACGGGAUUGAUUGAGUAGUAAUACAAGAUCAGUCUAGUGGCGCACGGGUGAGUAACAUGUGAAUUACAUGCCCUUCAGUGGGGAAUAGCCCAGGGAAACUUGGAUUAAUACCCCAUGGUAUCGCAAGAUUAAAGGUGGCCGCAAGGCUGCCGCUGGAGGAUUGGUUCGCACCCUAUCAGCUUGUUGGCGGGGUAAUGGCCCACCAAGGCUACGACGGGUACCUGGUCUGAGAGGACGAUCAGGCACACUGGAACUGAGACACGGUCCAGACACCUACGGGUGGCAGCAGUCGAGAAUAAUUCACAAUGGGGGCAACCCUGAUGGUGCAACGCCGCGUGGAGGAUGACGGUCUUCGGAUUGUAAACUCCUGUCAUCCGGGAGUAAGACCUGGCUGUUAAUAGCAGACAGGGUUGAUAGUACCGGAAGAGGAAGGGACGGCUAACUUCGUGCCAGCGGCCGCGGUAAUACGAAGGUCCCAAGCGUUGUUCGGAAUCACUGGGCGUAAAGGGAGCGUAGGCGGCGUGGUAAGUCAGAUGUGAAAUCCCGGGGCUCAACCCCGGAACUGCAUCCGAUACUGCCAUGCUAGAGGAUUGGAGAGGUAGCUGGAAUUCUUGGUGUAGCAGUGAAAUGCGUAGAGAUCAAGAGGAACACUCGUGGCGAAAGCGAGCUACUGGACAAUUCCUGACGCUGAGGCUCGAAGGCUAGGGUAGCGAAAGGGAUUAGAUACCCCUGUAGUCCUAGCAGUAAACGGUGCACGCUUGGUGUGAGGGGAAUCGACCCCCCUUGUGCCGG